AUUGAACGCUGGCGGAAUGCUUUACACAUGCAAGUCGAACGGCAGCACGGACUUCGGUCUGGUGGCGAGUGGCGAACGGGUGAGUAACAUAUCGGAACGUAUCCAAUAAUGGGGGAUAACUAAUCGAAAGGUUGGCUAAUACCGCAUACGCCCUACGGGGGAAAGCAGGGGAUCUUCGGACCUUGCGUUAAUGGAGCGGCUGAUAUCUGAUUAGCUAGUUGGUGAGGUAAAGGCUCACCAAGGCGACGAUCAGUAGCUGGUCUGAGAGGACGACCAGCCACACUGGAACUGAGACACGGUCCAGACUCCUACGGGAGGCAGCAGUGGGGAAUUUUGGACAAUGGGCGCAAGCCUGAUCCAGCCAUUCCGCGUGAGUGAAGAAGGCCUUCGGGUUGUAAAGCUCUUUCGCAAGGGGAGAAAACUUACUUUCUAAUAAAGAGUGAGGUUGACGGUACCUUGAUAAGAAGCACCGACUAACUACGUGCCAGCAGCCGCCGUAA
This 500-nucleotide ribosomal RNA is filed under the name uncultured bacterium. RNAcentral describes it as "partial 16S ribosomal RNA". It matches the Rfam family "Bacterial small subunit ribosomal RNA", at positions 30 to 523 of the family's 1533-position model. The record is from RNAcentral.